GACGCUAUCACCUAGUGGUUAUGGUGGGAAUUUACUACUAUCUCUGUAUUAUGUUCCUGUGCUUGCACACCAGGGUUCGAAUCCCUGUGGCGUCU
This is a non-coding RNA of Pseudohyphozyma bogoriensis, 95 nucleotides long. NCBI's taxonomy places the organism in Eukaryota, Fungi, Basidiomycota, Microbotryomycetes, Chrysozymaceae. The record is from the annotation of a GenBank genome assembly.